RNAcentral lists this ribosomal RNA (492 nucleotides) under uncultured bacterium. Its description in RNAcentral is "partial 16S ribosomal RNA". It matches the Rfam family "Bacterial small subunit ribosomal RNA", at positions 29 to 507 of the family's 1533-position model. The record is from RNAcentral.
AGUGAACGCUGGCGGUAGGCCUAACACAUGCAAGUCGAACGGCAGCACAGUAAGAGCUUGCUCUUACGGGUGGCGAGUGGCGGACGGGUGAGGAAUACAUCGGAAUCUACUUUUUCGUGGGGGAUAACGUAGGGAAACUUACGCUAAUACCGCAUACGACCUACGGGUGAAAGCAGGGGAUCUUCGGGCCUUGCGCGAUUGAAUGAGCCGAUGUCGGAUUAGCUAGUUGGCGGGGUAAAGGCCCACCAAGGCGACGAUCCGUAGCUGGUCUGAGAGGAUGAUCAGCCACACUGGAACUGAGACACGGUCCAGACUCCUGCGGGAGGCAGCAGUGGGGAAUAUUGGACAAUGGGCGCAAGCCUGAUCCAGCCAUACCACGUGGGUGAAGAAGGCCUUCGGGUUGUAAAGCCCUUUUGUUGGGAAAGAAAAGCAGCAGGUUAAUACCCCGCUGUUCUGACGGUACCCAAAGAAUAAGCACCGGCUAACUUCGUG